UAGGAAUUCAAUAAAAAAUGAGGGUACUCCAUUAAGAAUUUUCAUGUUUUUGAAUGAAUAUGCGAAUAUUGAUAUGUUCUUUCCCUGCUUGAACCGCCAUUCAGCAUUUAAUUUACAGUAUUUCGUGCUCAUCCCUACAUUGUUGCUGUUGGGACUCGAUAUGUGAAUAAUAUGGCUGGGAUAGGGUGGCCUCAGAAUCAUCAUCUUUCUCAUUUUCUCUUUGAAUAAUAUGGAUUAAAAAAAAAAAUAAACAAAUUUUCAAAAAAAUCGAUCAUGGAUUAAAAAAAAAAUCACAAAUUUUCAAAAAAUUCUAUCAUGGAUUACAAAAAAAA
RNAcentral lists this long non-coding RNA (332 nucleotides) under Amborella trichopoda. RNAcentral's name for it is "long non-coding RNA (ATRI_LNC000523)". Lineage: Eukaryota; Viridiplantae; Streptophyta; Magnoliopsida; Amborellales; Amborellaceae. The record is from RNAcentral.